CGACAGCCACCACCGUCGUCGGCUGCCGCUGCCUCGCCCAAGGCCGACUCUGCUGCCAAACAUCGAACGCUGCUGCUGUAGGGAGGCCGGCGAACAGCCGGGUGUUCGCCGUUUCCAGUUCUUCUCCGAGUUCCGAAGCCGGUGAGAGCUCCAUCAUCGCGUCGUCUCGUUCGUCUCUCGGUUCAGGCGAAGUCGCCCCUGCUCAGCUGGACGACCUCCGCCUCCUCUUCAUCGGUCCGCGUCGACGUCAUUUGGUACCCGUCCCCGGUUUAAUGAAAUCAGGUACAACAAAAUACUAUUCUUAUCUUCCCUAAAAUACUAGAUUCAGUUACUCUAAAUCGUGAAGGAAAACUCAUUCUAUAAUCUAUGUCUUUCAUGUUACUAGUGCAAGGGGGAGCAUCAUAGAAUGGGAUUCAAUUUCUGUAAAAAUACUAUGGAUUAAUCUUAUUACAGCAACUCGUGGUUUGCUUAUGACCCAUGUGUACGUAUAUUACUCAUUUAUGCACUCUGCAUUUCAUAAACUGAGCAUGUUUGUUGGUAUGAAUGUGGACUGGAUAAACUGGGAUAGUAUAUAUACCUUGAAUGAUGCUUGCUUUGGUUAGAGGUUGCAGUCGGACCAAAAGACGCGGCAGAUCGAACUGAAAAAAAUGACAAGUAUAUGUGGUUGCUUAAUGAAUGCAGGUGAAUAUCAAGGUGGGGGUGGACGAAUUUACACAAGGUCUCACCUUGAACUUGGCAGGGCACCGAAUGAAGAGCUCCUUCCGGUUUUGCUAGAAACCUUAAGUGUGGAAUGAGAAUGAAGUUCUUGUUUGCUGCAAAGAGAGGUAAAAAGGGAGGAGGGCUGUAUUGUUGGGGUGCGAGAAUGCAGCAGGCUCAAGAGAAGUUAGGGGAGUGUGCAGCACAUGUCUCCACCCCCUUUUUCUUUUUCCCA
RNAcentral lists this long non-coding RNA (931 nucleotides) under Salvia miltiorrhiza (redroot sage). RNAcentral describes it as "long non-coding RNA (SMIL_LNC005954)". The record is from RNAcentral. Lineage: Eukaryota; Viridiplantae; Streptophyta; Magnoliopsida; Lamiales; Lamiaceae.